Molecule: long non-coding RNA, 1952 nt
Organism: Chionomys nivalis (European snow vole)
Lineage: Eukaryota; Metazoa; Chordata; Mammalia; Rodentia; Cricetidae
Exons: 3
Source: RefSeq, a predicted model, not a curated record
CUCGGGCCAGCAAUAGCCACUGAGCAGAACACAGGGCAUCAGGAUGAGGACAACAGACAUACAGAAUCUCUACUAACCCCAGGCCAGGUGACAAGGGGACCUGGGGCUGCAGGGGGAGGGAAGCAAGGCUGUCAACGGUAGAAUCAACAAUGAGGCGCAGACCACGGUUGGGUCCAGGCUCCUGUGUUGAAAUCCCAGCUUCCCUACUCGAUGAUUCUGAGGGUCAGGGUGACUUUCUAAUGCCCAUUUAGCUCAAUGCCUGGCAGAAGGUAGAUGUUAGUUAUUGCUGUUGCUGCUAUGACUAAUGACACUCUGAGAGAGGGGGAAGAAACAGUGUAGGAGUUGCCUUUGGGCUGGGUCUUGAAGGCAGAAAGGAUUCCAGCAGGUGGUGACAGAUAGAAAGCAGAGAGGUAUAAAUGCAAGACAACUGAGAUGGAGAAUUCCCUGAGGCCAGGCCUUAGGAGUGGCACUGGGUACAAUCGUCAGAUUGCAAACAUGAAGAUGUCACACAUGCAGGGCACUGCCCCUGCUGCUGAGCAUGUCCCCCAACUGAUGUUCACAGACACCUGGAAAUGCGGCUGAGGGGAAAAGCUCAGAGGCCUGUUCCUUCGUCCAAUAAAUAUUUAACAAGCUUCUGCUGUCUAGGCCCUCGGAGCAGUGAACUGAGAAGCAGGCAGUAUUGAGUAAAUAUAUAAAGAAGGCCACUUCACACAGCGACGAAACCACACCCUUCGUGACAGGCCCCCAGGGCAGUACAGAGAAAGAACAAGGCGAUGAAAGGGGAAGACUUUUCCUGGAUUUUACAGUUCAGACGCCAGGCACGGAAAAACUGCCAGGUGCCAGCUGUGCGUGAGAGGCAGACUCGGAGCCCCAUCACAUUCCCAGCCGGAGGGCUGGGUGUGGCAAAGACAGAGAAAGACAUCCGUGAAAUGAAAUCUCAUCGAUAUGGCUGCCUAAACAAGACCCGAACAAUGACAACACCAGUCGGCAAGCCAACGUGAAUGGGGAAAUCUCACAGGACCCCACCCUUAGGUGAAGAGCUAUAGGCAACCAAUAACUACUGAGAAAGAUGUAGUCUCUCCAGAGAUGAGGCCCUGAUUGGCUGUCCAAUACCACAUGGUCAGACUUUACAAUGUAUACAAACAUGCAGCAUUAAGAGAACUCAACAGGUUGUAUUUAUCUACUUGUUUAUAUAUGUAUAUGUAAAAUAAUAAAGAGAAGAAACCUGUGAACGGGGUGGAAUGGGACACGGAAGGAGCUUAAGAAGAGAUUCAACAGGGGAGAUUAUAUAACUACAGUAAUUUAUAUGAAACUAAAAAUAAGAAAUUUAAUUCAAGUUGUUUUUUUCUUUUUUUUUGGUUUUGGUUUUGGUUUUCCGAGACAGGGUUUCUUAGUAGCUAUGGAGCCAGUCCUGGAACUCACUCUGUAGACCAGGCUGGUCUCAAACUCACAGAGAUCUGUUUGCCUCUGCCUCCCAAGUGCUGGGAUUAAAGGCGUGCGCCACCACCCUCCAGCUAAUUCAAUUUCCAAAAUCUUUUGAAAGAGGUGUUUUAAUUCCAUCCUGCUAGACCCACUGGGAUAUUUAUUUUUGAGGGGACAAAGUGCAAUUUUUCAUCUGGUAAGUUAACCUUGUAGGUCACCAGGGAAGCCAUUUACUGAAUUCUUAUAUCUUCAGAACUAAAAUACAUUCUUUUUAUUGCUAUUUCUUUGUAUAGAGUAAAUCAGGGGUCUGGGAUGUGGCUCAGUUAGUAGAGUACUUGCCUAAUGUGUACGAAACCAUGAGUGUAACCCCUCAACAACACAUCAGUUAGGAGUGCUGGGGGAAGAUCAAGGUCAUUCUUGGCUAUCUAAUGAGUUCAAGGACAGCCCAAGCUACAUGAGAUCCUAUCUCAAAGUAAAAAUUAAAUUAAAUUAAAAACAGUACAACUUAGUAAUUGCCAAAAAUUUGCCUU